RNAcentral lists this long non-coding RNA (1420 nucleotides) under Equus asinus (donkey). Its description in RNAcentral is "lncRNA (ENSEASG00005028225.1)". Lineage: Eukaryota; Metazoa; Chordata; Mammalia; Perissodactyla; Equidae. The record is from RNAcentral.
AAAUAAUAAGGUGGAAAGGUGAUUACUCUUGAGCCUUAUAAACACAUGCACGUAAAUCUCCCUGGCUUCUGCCCCCCAGGGCUAAAUGAUUGUGGACAUUUGACAAAGGUUAGAAUUACCUGCUGUGGGCAGGGACCUUGGUCAUAAUCCUGUCAUUUUCCAGAUAGAAAUGACUGACUGCGUCAUGGAAUUAUCUACAGCUAUGUGACUUUGGGGACUUGCUUCCUUUCUCUGGGCCUCAGUUUCUCCUUCGACAAACCAGGAAUAAUUCCUAAGUUUCUUUCCAGGUAAGUCUCUGUUCCUGCUUUUAACGCUAUUGUCUUGGAAAAAGUCAUGUAUAUGAGGCAAGAUUGAACAGAUAAAUAAAUGUGGUGAUGUUGAUGGAAGCCAGAGUUUUCACUGUGAUAAAACGGAAUAUGGAAGGAGGGAAGACAAAGAAAACCUUACAGGGUUAGAUUGGAAUUGGAGAUAUCAGUAGGAACAGGUAUUUCCUGUGUCUGUUGAAAGUGCAAGACGCAGUGACACCUCAGGAAUAACGAGCAUACUUAAAGCCUAGACGUUGGUUUCUAAAUGUCAUUCUGUACUAAAAGGAAGCAGGGCAAAUUGAAGAUAUGGCUCAGUCCAGGACUGGGACAGGGAAGAUAUAAGAUGAGCCUGGAACAUCUUAUUGUCUAGGAAGUGCUCAAAAAAUAAAAAUGGAGGCAUGUUAAAAGGACAGAGGAGCCAGCUUGAAGGGACUCCCAUUGUAUGCAUAUGGGACAAUUUCAGCAUCCAACAUUAAGAAGCAUAAUGGACUAUAACACAGUGAAUGAAAUAGGAAUCCAUGAAUGCAUACUGAUAAAUAAUAGGUAAACAAACAAAUAAACGAAGAAGAAAGGAAGGCUCUUCCUAACUGAUGCCAACUGAUAAAUGUGGAGAGAAUGGUGAAUCUGGGAAAACACUAUUUGCAACCAUCACAGAACAGAUUGUUUUAGGAAAGAUUUAUCAAUGGAGACCAAAUCUAGGGAGAAAAGUUUGGUGAGAAACGAAUAUUUGCAUCGUUCCAAACUGUUUCCACACAGAUUGCUUAUUCAUUGCAAGGGGAAAAUAGUUAUUCCACAGUGGAGAAAUUGGACAACACUUUACCUGGUGAUAAAAAUUAACAUCACUAACGUGUGGCAGAUGGACAAGGUGCCUUCAGAUAUGACACCCUAAGAAGGAUGCAUCAUGUAUGUGAUAUUCCAACUGGGCAUAUAUUACCUGAAUGGACUUAAGAGGAAAUAUCAGAUGUGACAAGUAAAUGCAAUAAAUAACCAUGAACUGCUGGAUCUCACACUGGAGAGAAACACUGCUAUAAAGGGCAUAACGGGGCAUUUAAUAAAAUUAGAAUAUAAGCUGUAGAUUAGACAAGCAUUGCACUAUUUAACUUUGUGAAUUUGAG